Molecule: long non-coding RNA, 731 nt
Filed under: Phasianus colchicus (ring-necked pheasant)
Lineage: Eukaryota; Metazoa; Chordata; Aves; Galliformes; Phasianidae
Description: lncRNA (ENSPCLG00000013938.1)
Source: RNAcentral
GAUUGACUUCAUGGCAUUCCACGGGUCACGCAACACGCUAAGGACACGCUUAGGUCACGUGACACGCUGGGAAGAUCACGUGACGUUCCUGGGAGCCAUCUUGGAUCGACCCCACCAUCAUGGCGGCCACCUUGGGUCAUGUGACACGGCGGCCAUCUUGGAUCGUUGCGCGGGGUUGAGUCGCGUGAUGUGGCGGCCAUCUUGGAUGAGCCCACGUGACUCGUCGGCCAUCUUGGAUCCACCGCAGCGGCCAUCUUGGGUCCACAGGCGCCAUCUUGGAUCGACCUACAUCGUCACGGCGGCCAUCUUGGAUCCAUUCCACCAUGACAGCGGCCAUCUUGACCGGACCCACGUGACUCGGCGGCCAUCUUGCCCCUCCCCCAACUUCCCCGCAUGCUCCCCCCCCCGCAUGCCUUUCAAGCCCCGCCCCCUGUACAUAAGCCCCGCCCACCUCCCCAAUGGAUGCGUGUACAUAGAAACGUAUUGGAGGCGAAGCUCCGCCCCCUCACCGGAAGUGUAAAUAACUCCCCCUCCCCCCCCCCGGAAAAAAAACAUGGCCGACCCUGAAAAAAUGGAGAUUUUUAUUUGGGGUUAUAUAAAAAAAUCGAUCAAAGGGGGGGAGGAGGGGGAGGGAAGGGGGGUCCCUGAGGGCCCCUAUGGGGGGCGGGGGAUCUGUGGGGCGAUUUGGGGGUCUAUGGGGCGGCAUAUGGGGUUAUGGGGUGGAUCUAUGG